GACGAACGCUGGCGGCGUGCUUAACACAUGCAAGUCGAACGGUAAGGCUCCAGCUUGCUGGGGUACACGAGUGGCGAACGGGUGAGUAACACGUGGGUGACCUGCCCUGCACUUCGGGAUAAGCCUGGGAAACUGGGUCUAAUACCGGAUAGGACCGCACCGUGAGGGUGUGGUGGAAAGUUUUUUCGGUGUGGGAUGGGCCCGCGGCCUAUCAGCUUGUUGGUGGGGUAAUGGCCUACCAAGGCGGCGACGGGUAGCCGGCCUGAGAGGGUGGACGGCCACAUUGGGACUGAGACACGGCCCAGACUCCUACGGGAGGCAGCAGUGGGGAAUAUUGCACAAUGGGCGGAAGCCUGAUGCAGCGACGCCGCGUGGGGGAUGACGGCCUUCGGGUUGUAAACUCCUUUCACCAUCGACGAAGGGUUUCUGACGGUAGAUGGAGAAGAAGCACCGGCUAACUACGUGCCAGCAGCCGCGGUAAUACGUAGGGUGCGAGCGUUGUCCGGAAUUACUGGGCGUAAAGAGCUCGUAGGUGGUUUGUCGCGUCGUCUGUGAAAUUCCGGGGCUUAACUCCGGGCGUGCAGGCGAUACGGGCAUAACUUGAGUACUGUAGGGGAGACUGGAAUUCCUGGUGUAGCGGUGAAAUGCGCAGAUAUCAGGAGGAACACCGGUGGCGAAGGCGGGUCUCUGGGCAGUAACUGACGCUGAGGAGCGAAAGCAUGGGGAGCGAACAGGAUUAGAUACCCUGGUAGUCCAUGCCGUAAACGGUGGGCGCUAGGUGUGGGUUUCCUUCCACGGGAUCCGUGCCGUAGCUAACGCAUUAAGCGCCCCGCCUGGGGAGUACGGCCGCAAGGCUAAAACUCAAAGGAAUUGACGGGGGCCCGCACAAGCGGCGGAGCAUGUGGAUUAAUUCGAUGCAACGCGAAGAACCUUACCUGGGCUUGACAUAUACAGGAUCGCGCCAGAGAUGGUGUUUCCCUUGUGGCUUGUAUACAGGUGGUGCAUGGUUGUCGUCAGCUCGUGUCGUGAGAUGUUGGGUUAAGUCCCGCAACGAGCGCAACCCUUGUCUUAUGUUGCCAGCACGUUGUGGUGGGGACUCGUAAGAAACUGCCGGGGUUAACUCGGAGGAAGGUGGGGAUGACGUCAAAUCAUCAUGCCCCUUAUGUCCAGGGCUUCACACAUGCUACAAUGGUCGGUACAGUGGGUUGCCAGUCCGUGAGGGCGAGCUAAUCCCGCAAAGCCGGUCUCAGUUCGGAUCGGGGUCUGCAACUCGACCCCGUGAAGUCGGAGUCGCUAGUAAUCGCAGACCAGCAACGCUGCGGUGAAUACGUUCCCGGGCCU
This 1341-nucleotide ribosomal RNA is filed under the name uncultured bacterium. Its description in RNAcentral is "partial 16S ribosomal RNA". It matches the Rfam family "Bacterial small subunit ribosomal RNA", at positions 28 to 1381 of the family's 1533-position model. The record is from RNAcentral.